UUUCCAAUGGCCACGCGUCUGCGGCAAUAAGCAAACGUGAACGGGGUAUAAAAUGACGUCCGAUGAGAUGGAAAAGGGACAUCGAGCUUCAUCGCUGACUUCGAUAGGCCAUUCAUUUCCAACGAGUGCUCUCACGAAAAUGCGUUUCAUCAUCCAGCUGGUACUGCUCGUCACUAUUUGUGCGGCCCUUUAUUCUCGAGUUGACGCAGACCCGGUAGACAACGAUCAACAAGCUACAAUGUUUGUGAGAGGCAUCCUCGGUGACUUGCAAGAAGAACUUGAUAAAGGACCAUGCGAUCCCAGGAAGUUCGACAAGUGCUUUACAAAAUGCUUUAACAAAUUGCCGUUGCUUCAAUGCAGGGAUCACUGCCUACUAAAUGGAUGCUAAGACGCUGAACAUAUGUUUCUUCCGUUUAAGGGCAGAACAACCCUCAGCGUCCUCUACUGUCUUGUUUUUAAGUGGCUAAUACACAUAGAAUAGAAGCAUUUAA
Molecule: long non-coding RNA, 491 nt
Filed under: Daphnia magna
Lineage: Eukaryota; Metazoa; Arthropoda; Branchiopoda; Diplostraca; Daphniidae
Description: uncharacterized LOC116920891
Source: RNAcentral